This 441-nucleotide ribosomal RNA is filed under the name uncultured bacterium. Its description in RNAcentral is "bacterial SSU rRNA". It matches the Rfam family "Bacterial small subunit ribosomal RNA", at positions 958 to 1397 of the family's 1533-position model. The record is from RNAcentral.
AACGCGAAGAACCUUACCUGGGCUCGAAAUGCUAUGGACAGCCUGUGAAAGCAGGUCUCCCCUUAAAAGGCCGUAGUAUAGGUGCUGCAUGGCUGUCGUCAGCUCGUGUCGUGAGAUGUUGGGUUAAGUCCCGCAACGAGCGCAACCCUUGUCCUGUGUUGCCAUACCUUAAAAAGUGGAACUCGCAGGAGACCGCCAGGGAUAACCUGGAGGAAGGUGGGGAUGACGUCAAGUCCUCAUGGCCUUUAUGUCCAGGGCUACACACGUGCUACAAUGGACGGUACAAUGGGCUGCCAACCCGCGAGGGGGAGCCAAUCCCAAAAAACCGUUCUCAGUUCGGAUUGCAGGCUGCAACUCGCCUGCAUGAAGCUGGAAUCGCUAGUAAUGGCGGAUCAGAACGCCGCCGUGAAUACGUUCCCGGGCCUUGUACACACCGAUAGC